This 497-nucleotide ribosomal RNA is filed under the name uncultured bacterium. RNAcentral's name for it is "partial 16S ribosomal RNA". It matches the Rfam family "Bacterial small subunit ribosomal RNA", at positions 28 to 507 of the family's 1533-position model. The record is from RNAcentral.
GAUGAACGCUGGCGGCGUGCCUAAUACAUGCAAGUCGAGCGAACAGAUAAGGAGCUUGCUCCUUUGACGUUAGCGGCGGACGGGUGAGUAACACGUGGGUAACCUACCUAUAAGACUGGGAUAACUUCGGGAAACCGGAGCUAAUACCGGAUAAUAUUUCGAACCGCAUGGUUCGAUAGUGAAAGAUGGUUUUGCUAUCACUUAUAGAUGGACCCGCGCCGUAUUAGCUAGUUGGUAAGGUAACGGCUUACCAAGGCGACGAUACGUAGCCGACCUGAGAGGGUGAUCGGCCACACUGGAACUGAGACACGGUCCAGACUCCUACGGGAGGCAGCAGUAGGGAAUCUUCCGCAAUGGGCGAAAGCCUGACGGAGCAACGCCGCGGGAGUGAUGAAGGUCUUCGGAUCGUAAAACUCCGUUAUUAGGGAAGAACAUACGUGUAAGUAACUGUGCACGUCUUGACGGUACCUAAUCAGAAAGCCACGGCUAACUACGUG